Lycium barbarum (goji berry) is the source of this 74-nucleotide non-coding RNA. The record is from the annotation of a RefSeq genome assembly. NCBI's taxonomy places the organism in Eukaryota, Viridiplantae, Streptophyta, Magnoliopsida, Solanales, Solanaceae.
GGGGUGGUGGCGCAGUUGGCUAGCGCGUAGGUCUCAUAAUCCUGAGGUCGAGAGUUUGAGCCUCUCUCACCCCA